Molecule: ribosomal RNA, 253 nt
Filed under: uncultured bacterium
Lineage: Bacteria
Description: partial 16S ribosomal RNA
Rfam family: Bacterial small subunit ribosomal RNA
Source: RNAcentral
UACGUAGGGGACUAGCGUUGUUCGGAAUUACUGGGCGUAAAGCGCACGUAGGCGGUUUUGUAAGUCAGGGGUGAAAUCCCAGGGCUCAACCUCGGAACUGCCUUUGAUACUGCAAAUCUCGAGUCCGGAAGAGGUGAGUGGAAUUCCUAGUGUAGAGGUGAAAUUCGUAGAUAUUAGGAAGAACACCAGUGGCGAAGGCGGCUCACUGGUCCGGUACUGACGCUGAGGUGCGAAAGCGUGGGGAGCAAACAGG